UACGUAGGGAGCGAGCGUUAUCCGGAAUUAUUGGGUGUAAAGGGUGCGUAGACGGGAAGACAAGUUGGUUGUGAAAUCCCUCGGCUUAACUGAGGAACUGCAACCAAAACUAUCAUUCUUGAGUACUGGAGAGGAAAGUGGAAUUCCUAGUGUAGCGGUGAAAUGCGUAGAUAUUAGGAGGAACACCAGUGGCGAAGGCGACUUUCUGGACAGAAACUGACGUUGAGGCACGAAAGUGUGGGGGGCAAACAGG
RNAcentral lists this ribosomal RNA (253 nucleotides) under uncultured bacterium. RNAcentral describes it as "partial 16S ribosomal RNA". It matches the Rfam family "Bacterial small subunit ribosomal RNA", at positions 524 to 776 of the family's 1533-position model. The record is from RNAcentral.